Molecule: ribosomal RNA, 315 nt
Filed under: uncultured eukaryote
Lineage: Eukaryota
Description: partial 18S ribosomal RNA
Rfam family: Eukaryotic small subunit ribosomal RNA
Source: RNAcentral
CCCUUAGAUGCUCUGGGCCGCACGCGCGCUACACUGGUCGAUGCAACGAGUUUCUUUCCUUGGCCGACAGGCCCGGGCAAUCUUUGAACGCUGGUCGUGAUGGGGAUAGACUUUUGCAAUUUUUGGUCUUCAACGAGGAAUUCCUAGUAAACGCAAGUCAUCAACUUGCAUUGAUUACGUCCCUGCCCUUUGUACACACCGCCCGUCGCACCUACCGAUUGAAUGGUCCGGUGAAGCCUCCGGAUUGGCGCGCACCUCGGUGCCGCCGAGAAGUUGGCUAAACCUUACCAUUUAGAGGAAGGUGAAGUCGUAACA